CUUGGCCAUAGUGCCUUUCCCAGCAGCUGGGCUGUCUGCUUGGCUACUUUUCACACUCCUGUGUGGCCAGGGAAGGGGGAUAUGGACGGUCACCAGGGGCUGAUCCAGCACAGAGUCCGGGAGUUACUGGGAGACAGAACAUGUGACUGCUAUGUCACAGCAGCUUGCUGGCUAAUGAUGGCUCUGUCUCAGCUCAGUGCUGGCUCCUGAGAGUUGUUGGGCUCGGAGUGUCCAGGUUAGCUUGGCAGCCAGCCCACUUAACAGACACAUGUCUUAGACAAGCAGCCUUCUCCCAGGAAUUUUGUGUGGCAGCCUUUUUGAUAAGCAAAAGAGGAGAAUAGCUGGCAGUGGCUAUCAGCUCUUCCUCGUUGAGCACCUGAUGCCCAAGUGUGACAGGGUGUGGGAAAAGCUGAGCACCAUCUUCUGGAAGCAGCAAAUAUAAACCCACAACAGCAACAGAUGCCAGACCUGAUGCCCUACCUGGGAGCACUGUGACAAAGCCUGAUUUCUGUCUGGCUGCUCUUCUUUGUUGCUGCAUGCCUGGGGAUGAGCUCAGCCAACAUGUAGCCGUGGCUAACCUGGGCAUGCAGUGGACCGAGCUCUGAGGGAUCUGUGCACUGUGCAGAUGAGCUGGAGAGUGGGAUGGGCUGCACAGUCAUUCCUGGGGGCAACAGCAACAUGAUUCUCAGCGAUGGUCAGUGUUUGGCUCCCGUAUGCUGUGCAGGAGAACAGGAUUUGCCAUCAGGGCUGGCAAGAAGGACUGGGCUGGGUCAGCCUGGCAGGAGGCAGGAUGAUGCCUGUGAGACCCAGUUAGAGGCUGCCUAUAAAUCCAGUGUAGGUUGCUGCCUGGUAAGCUCAGCCCACAGCCACCUGCAAACCUGCAGAAGAGAGGGCUGCAUCUCCCCAGGCUAUUCCUGCAGUCUCUAUGCUUUGAUAUGGCUCCCCCUUUUGUGUUUGUUCCCUCUCCCCUGGUCUAACCUCUGAAACAGUUGCAGUGAAUCACAUACUUUCCCUAUUAACCCACCAGCCAGUGCUGCUGGCUCAGAUAGUGGCAGGGACAAUGUGAACUUUCCAGUUCCUCUCAAAAUCACAGAGGACAGUGAGGGACCCCUGGAAAUGCUCUGGAUGCAUCUGUAGGACCAGCUUGUGCCAUGCUCACCUCUGGUGUGAUCUACCCCCAGAUCUCUCCCAAGAGAGCCCACCUGUAUCACUCAGGGCAGAUGACAAAGCUCUUUGAAAGUGCCUUGGGGUUGAAGAUGGAGCCCUGUGACUCCUGUGAGCUGCAGAACAAGGAGACAUUCAUCUUCAGUCUCUUCCCUUGCGGAUGGUGGAGAGGAGGGUCUUGUUCAGGAAGGGCAGUGGCUUCCCAACCCAAGGCUUGAAAUUGCUGCUGUGGGGAAUGCCUGUGGUGUAGGUACCAGCAAGCCCAUGGAAAUCCUCCUCAGUAUGUACAGAUGCGGAGGCGUGUGGAGAUGAGGGGGCUCUGCUCUGGAGCAUUAGCUGCCCUGGGCUUGGUUUUUUCACCAGCUCCAAAUUUGUGAAGUGAUGAGUGGCAUGGCUCCAUUUCCCCACACGGCCCCUUUCCCUCUCCCCUCCUUCCAGGCUUGUUGUGUGUCUUUAUUGAUUUGGAUGGUUUGUCUGAGUGAGAGUUCAAAUGUCUCACUAUCCCCAUGAGUGGGCAAGCAAACAGACAAACAGAUAUGAUCCUGGAAUGUAGACAUGAGUGAUGACCCACAGAUUAUCCUGAGUGUGUGUUUGUAUGCCUCUGUUCUUCUGUGCCCCUCUGCAUGUACUCUUCCUCUUCCUUUACCAUUUUAGUUUUUUCGCCUCUCCUUGCUGCUCUGUUUCUCCAUCCUGCUUCACCCUCUCCCUCUCUCUCCUGCCCUCCUCCUCAUUCUCUUUUUCUCAUUUGAUAUUCAUGCAUGAAUAAAUUCAAUUGCAUUUUUCCCUGUUCCCCCUGAAGGGGCUUGUUGGUGAAUUGCCAGCAUCUGAAAUCAUAUAAUGCUCAGAUUCAUCAUUUUGGGGACAGAAUUGAAACCCUUCUAUUUCUCAGGAAGGAAUAACAGAUGCUUUUCAUGAAGAGAGGGAGUAGCGAGUGUCUUGUGUCUCGUGGCUGGUGAGGAAGAAGCCAAGGGAAUUAACUUUGGCAGCACAGGGUGGACUUGCUAGCAGAGGGGACUAGAAGGUCAACCAGCCCCUCUGGUGUGAGGCACACAUAGGUGUGUGCAUAUGGAGUGUGAGUGCCUAUGUUUGCUGGCAUGUUUGCUACGUGUGGUGCUAGUGGUGCACUUAGGGAUGGGUAAUAUCUCUUAGCGGGCUGCCCAGAAUUGGUUGCAGCAGGAGCUGUCUCGGUGGGGUGUCAGCAGUCUGGCACCAGGGUAUUUAGAGCCAUUGUCUAGAGAUCUGCCUGGGCAUCUGCCUCAGGCGACUUUUGGGACACUUACAUGGCUCUGGUAUCACCCCAAACUACUGUGGGUCUGGAGUUGUGCCCAGCAGCACAUCUCCAUCACACUGAGAAGCUGAGGUUGUUAUGUCACAAAAUCAUGCCCAUCCUGCACAUUGAGGGGCUUCCUGAUGUGGAUGGGCACUUGUUGUCUCCCUGCUUCGACAUGGGAGCCUUCCAGCUCAUGCAGGACAGUGAACCCAGGGGCCCAAAGUGAUCAGAUCCUGCACAGCUUCAAUACAAACAGGCUCUGACCCAUUGUGGGAAGAAGUCUGACCACCACAAAAAUUUUUUUUCCUUGGAAAAAAAUCUCUUUCCAUCUUGUGGAAGAUGCAUAAGUUCACCAUGGAACUGCAGCCCUGGUCAGAAGACAUGGAAAAAGAAAGGCUGUACUUAUCUGAGGAAGGGCUGUUUUUCAUGAGAGCUGUUAAUCAGGUAAAUUUGAUGCUCACAACAUUCCCAUUAUUUACAACAUAACUAUUUUUUUUUUUUAGCAGUCCUGGUAUAGCCUGAGGAUCCUCUGAGGACUGUGUUUGCCUUUCAGGAGAGGUAACAAGAUUAGACACUUUAUUAAGCACAAAAGUGUUAUGCUAAAAGCGGACAGCAGCCAUCGUCUUUGUUCAAAAGACUUUUAAGGGCCUCAUGAGAGAGAGUGACAUGCCAACCACCUUGCUCCAAGGCUCCAAGGAGCUUGGCUGAUGUGAUGUAAAUGGCUAGAGGCUCCUUGACAUCUGCCUCACAUCCCUGGCAUGACAAAGCCAAGCCACACAGACAUGAAUGGCAGAGGAGAGGAUACCUACUGGGUGUUUUUCACCCUAAAUGGUGAAGGCAUGUGAGCUACCUUGAGCUAAAACCAGAGUGGUUCUGACUUUACCAGAAGGUGGGCUUGCUCCAUUGGCUUCCCACAGAGAGUUAACCGUCCGAGGGUUUCACAGUAUGACUAAAGUGCUUGGUUUCCCAGCCAUUUGUAGUUUAGAUGUGUUAAUUACUCUGACCCAGCUAUUCCAGCCAUGCACGAACAGCUGUGAUAGUUGGUGCAGAUAUCGUCGUGGCAAGGAAGGUUUGGUUUGGAGAGGCUUUGUGUAUCCCCGCAAGGAAGCCGAGGUGCUUUUGGGCUGUAGUGCGUGUUGUACCAUACCUCAACUGGUAACUUGGCAAUUUUUAGCUCCUUAUUUACAAUAUAUGCCCACAGCAGAAGCAGGAAUGUCUACUUCUCAUAACACCAGGGGUUUUAUUGUCUGAACAGGCAAAAUCCGUGAAAAGCCUUGAGGACUGUGAUGGCUUCAUCUCUUUCCCAGACCUGACUCAGGGGUCCCCAGCAGAAAAAUGUUCCAAGAAUUAGGGCCCUGUGCUGACACAGGGUAGGGCUGCUCAGCCUUGGAAUGGGACCUGCGGAGGAGAUGCUGGGCUAGCCAUCCAUUGGAUGAGGCUGAGGGCAGCUCUACUCUGUUUAGGCACUGGAAGGUGGGAUCCCUGCAUAUUAUCCAUCCCCCUCAUUUCCCCCUGGAUAUAUUGUUCCCACCGUCUGAGUUCCCGUAACAGAUCUAGUAGUAGGAUAGGGGGAAAGAAGAGACUGGUUUUGAGGAAAGGACUUUGGGGGGGGAUCGUUAGUUUAUUUUUUUAACUCUUCCCAAGGGAUAAUUCUCUAACCUGCUUGAUCUGUGACUUGUGGAGGGACAGAUGUUUACAAGUUCAGGGAAAGGCAGGCACACUGAAAGCCUGUGUCCAUCAGAAAAGGAAUGAUGAGUGGGCUGAAGGCAAGGACAAAUCAGCUGUCCUGAGACCCCACCACGGAUGUGAGUGUGUGAUGGUGUACAAGGAGAUUUCUUCCUUUCCCCCAGUGUUGUUAGAAUUCCUGCAUUCUCUACCUCUAAUUGUAGGUUUCCCCAGAAGACAUUUGGUGUCACUGUAAGGACGGCGUUUCACUCUCCCUCUCUGCCUGUACAGUUAUUCUCGCUCUCUCACUGUGCAGUUUGCUCCAUAAGCUGUUGGUGAACAUAUCAUGAGACAGAGAGAGAGAGACAGACAGGCAGAAACCACAUACCAGCCCUUCCUCCUCACUUUCCCAUCAUGGAAUAGCUAACCUUGCCCUCACCCACACCUCCAUCACCUCUCAGCAUCCCACAAAUAUUUUGACCCUCUCUGGUCUUUUUGGCAGGAAGCUUCAGUCACUUCUUAACACCACCUGCCUGGAAAAACAUACAGACAAAGCCUCCCCAAACCCUUCUGAGAAGGAAUAGGUCCUUUUUUAAACCUCUUUUCAUUUGCUCUGACCCUGGAGCUUCAGACUCCAGCCUGAGCAGCUACAAUUUCUUACCAUGUAUUCCCCUUUUAAACCGUCUCCUUCCUGCACACGCUCAGUCCUUGCAGGCACGGAUCUAACACAACUCCUCGCUUCUCGCCGGCAGGUUCUUUGCUCCCCAUCACUCAGCUGAUCCUGAUCUUUUUUUUCCUAUCCUCCCCUCCCCGGGCACUGAGGUGUGUGUAUCUGUGUGUGAGUGUGCCUGUGUGCAAGGGGGGAGGUGGGGGGCCUUUUUUUUUCUUGGUAGAGGGAUUUUUUCAGCGCAUCCUCAUUAUUAUUUUAUUUUGAUUCUCUGACUUGGACACUUCUCUCCUGGAGACUGCUUUUCCAUGCAAAGGGGUUAUCACUUGCGGCGGGCAUGGCAGAGUACAUCCCCCAGCCUCCUUCCACCUGGCCUGCAGGCCCACAGCCCCCUCACACUUCUGCCCUCUGCCCUCUGGAGCCUGUGGAUCUGGGGAUCUCAGAACAACAAACACCACCGGAGCAGCCGCCGUCCUCCCCAGAGCUGGGUGAGGAUGAAGAAGCCACCUCCCCACCAGAUCCUGAUGUUCCCUACCCUGACUUGGCCCCAGUUGUCUUCUUCUGCUUGAAGCAGACCACAAGCCCACGGAGCUGGUGCAUCAAAAUGGUGUGCAACCCAUAUCCUUUUUGAGCUGCCCCUUCUCCCUCCCCACCUCUGGCUCCCUCCUGCCCCAUCAUGUCUUCACACUGCCCUUCUAGGGCACCUGGCAGGCAAGGAAUGACAUUUCCUACAUAUUUAAUGACCUUCUUUGUUCGUUCAUCAGUUGCACUUUAACAGAAUGUCUGCUGUUUUAGUGUAUGUUCAAAAGAAACUCAUUAUGAAAGAAGGACUUCAGAGAGAGCUGCUGACAGUCCCAGGCACAGGGUACAGGGUGAGACGAGAGUGGAGAUGUGAAGAGAGGAAUAUUAGAAAGGCCUGUUCUUCCCCUUCCCAGCUCCCUUUUUGCCAGGGACAGAGCAGGAGUUGCUAGCCCAGGAGCUUGUCAGAGACUGCCAUGAAUGGCAGGGGUGUCUGACCAUACAGGUUUUAGUGAGAUCAUCUUGCCCUUGGUGAGGGAACCACCACUCCUCCUGUACCUCGAUUGGAGGGAUACCUAGGCAACCCCUUGCCUUUCCGUCUAGCACAUGUCACUGUCCUGCCAGUGCCUCGUCAUGAUGUCUGACUGGGAACAAAUGGGAGAAUCUAUUCAGAGUCUGAUGCUGAGCUUCAUACACCCAGUGAGAGAUCCCUAGGACAUAAGCACAUCCUUCCUUUCCAUGGGUCAGCAACCACAUACAUGUGUCACCAUUCAUACUCAGUGCCUUGAUUGCAGGGAGGCCCCUUGCAACCCAUCACUGCAAAUGAUGGCCACCUGCAUGGCUCGUUAGCUCUGAGCCUGCCAGGAGGGCAACGGCCUUUGUGGCUCCUCAGCGCGAUGCCAUAUGAAGACCAGGUGGAGAGCAUUUGCUAUUCUUUGGACUGUGGAACCAUUCGUGGUGGGGAGAAAGUGGAGAAGAUGAGUCAUCAGAGAGGUUGGUCUGAAGUUUUAUGUGACCCUUUUUCUGGCCAGAAAUCUCAAGUGAUGGUGCUUUCUACCUGGAAGUUUCUUAGUUCCUGGUUAGGUGAAAAUUAUUGAUAAAGGUGAUUGUUCUGGUUUUGAUGCAUUGGCUUCUAGAUUAAAUUUGAGUGUCUGGGCACAAAGCAGAGACUAGCAAAGUGUU
Pseudopipra pipra is the source of this 6467-nucleotide long non-coding RNA. RefSeq lists it as uncharacterized. The record is from RefSeq and is a predicted model, not a curated record. The transcript is spliced from 4 exons. Lineage: Eukaryota; Metazoa; Chordata; Aves; Passeriformes; Pipridae.